RNAcentral lists this ribosomal RNA (292 nucleotides) under uncultured bacterium. RNAcentral describes it as "partial 16S ribosomal RNA". The record is from RNAcentral.
GGACUACUGGGGUAUCUAAUCCUGUUCGCUCCCCACGCUUUCGCGCCUCAGCGUCAGUAUGAGGCCAGGUGGCUGCCUUCGCCAUUGACGUUCCUUCCGAUCUCUACGCAUUUCACUGCUACACCGGAAAUUCCGCCACCCUCUCCUCUACUCCAGUAAAAUAGUUUGGUAUGCACUUCCUAGGUUAAGCCCAGGGCUUUCACAUCCCACACAUCCCACCGCCUACGCGCCCUUUACGCCCAGUAAUUUCGAUUAACGCUCGCACCCUCUGUAUUACCGCGGCUGCUGGCAC